Molecule: small nuclear RNA, 164 nt
Organism: Amblyraja radiata (thorny skate)
Lineage: Eukaryota; Metazoa; Chordata; Chondrichthyes; Rajiformes; Rajidae
Product: U1 spliceosomal RNA
Exons: 1
Source: RefSeq, a predicted model, not a curated record
AUACUUACCUGGCAGGGGAGAGACUGUGAUCACCAAGGCUGCUCUCCCAGGACGAGGCUAUCCCAUUGCACUCUGGGAGUGCUGACGCCUGCGAUGUCCCCAAAUGCGGGAUGAUCGACUGCAUUUUUGUUGGUAGUGGGGGACUGCGUUCACGCUCUCCCCUG